CUUUGCUUACUAAGUGUGUGACCUUGGGCAUUUACUUAUGUUCUGUGACGCAGUGUUCUUAUCUCUAAAAUGGGGAUAGUAUGUCUCCUUCAUAGAAGUGUUGCAGGGAUUUGUUAGUGUAUUUAAAGCACUUGGAAGAGUGCUUGUCACAUAGCAAGUAUUAUAUAAAUGUCCACUGUGUAGUUACUGUUGUUGCUGUCUACAGAAGCCAGAUGUGGACCACAGAGCCAGAAGCCUCAGGCAAGUCUCCGGAGCUGAAACUAGAAAGAAUUAUUUAUAACAGUUCCCAUCCUGCCUAGGGCUACAGUGUCACAUCAUUCCUGGGCCACACUCAAUUGCACGUGUGUCUUCUCUGUGAGCCGGGGCUUACACCUGAAGGCUUGCAGUCCACACACAACCCUCAUGCUUUGGCUGUGUUCCCAGCGGACAAGUUCAUCUUCAAGAAAACUAAGAGAUCUCUUCCCCUGAUAAAAAACAACUCCACGUUUGAUGGGACUCAGACCUGGGCUCUUCUGUCACCUCUAGGUAGGGAGGUAUUGGAGAGCAAGUUUAGGAGUCACCCUACCAAGUGGGUAUGAUGAUGAAGGUGAGCUGCUAAGAAAGAGGUUGAGAGACAGCUGAUGUUUGUUUCAAGCCAAUCUUCUUCAACCCCAGGCACCAGGAGCAGAGGGCCAGUGGAUAAAGAUUAAGUAGGAUGGAAUCUGCAAUAAAGCCAAAUGUGUGGGUUGUAUUGCUGAUCUU
Molecule: long non-coding RNA, 741 nt
Filed under: Piliocolobus tephrosceles (Ugandan red Colobus)
Lineage: Eukaryota; Metazoa; Chordata; Mammalia; Primates; Cercopithecidae
Description: lncRNA (ENSPTEG00000035549.1)
Source: RNAcentral